CAGCAGCCACGGUAACACCGAGGGUGCAAGCGUUAAUCGGAAUUACUGGGCGUAAAGCGCGCGUAGGUGGUUCGCCAAGUUGGAUGUGAAAUCCCCGGGCUCAACCUGGGAACUGCAUCCAAAACUGGCAAGCUAGAGUAUGGUAGAGGGUGGUGGAAUUUCCUGUGUAGCGGUGAAAUGCGUAGAUAUAGGAAGGAACACCAGUGGCGAAGGCGACCACCUGGACUGAUACUGACACUGAGGUGCGAAAGCGUGGGGAGCAAACAGGAUUAGAUACCCCUGUAGUCCCUGUCUCUUAUAC
RNAcentral lists this ribosomal RNA (301 nucleotides) under uncultured bacterium. RNAcentral describes it as "partial 16S ribosomal RNA". It matches the Rfam family "Bacterial small subunit ribosomal RNA", at positions 509 to 807 of the family's 1533-position model. The record is from RNAcentral.